RNAcentral lists this ribosomal RNA (315 nucleotides) under Triticum aestivum (bread wheat). RNAcentral describes it as "partial small subunit ribosomal RNA". Lineage: Eukaryota; Viridiplantae; Streptophyta; Magnoliopsida; Poales; Poaceae. The record is from RNAcentral.
AUGGAGAGGCGAUGGCCGCCGCCUGAGCACGGUGGUGGUUAUCGCGCGAACCAGGACGACGGAAGCCCGGUGGUGGUUACCUCCAGAACAAGGACAAUGGAAGCCAGCGGUGUUGCUGGUCCUCGCGGAGACGACGGCGCCCACUGGGGGACCUCGAUCCGCCGCCCAAUCAAGCCUAGCAUCGAUCCGGCCGCUGCUCCUCCACAUCUCCAGCUUGUGUUCCUCCACGGGUCCAAUCCUCGUGAAUAUGGUGGCCCGAGCCCCAUCCACCUUGGUCCUCUUCCGCCGCAGAAAGAUGUGACCUCCCUGGAGUAG